Molecule: long non-coding RNA, 937 nt
Organism: Cloeon dipterum
Lineage: Eukaryota; Metazoa; Arthropoda; Insecta; Ephemeroptera; Baetidae
Exons: 4
Source: RefSeq, a predicted model, not a curated record
CCAACACAACCACCGACUGAAGGGAAUCAUCAAAAAGACAUCGCUCGCGGCGCGGCGGAACAAAGGAGAAUGCCUGGACCAGAAAAAGCCAGUCUCAAGAUCAGGGAAAAGUGGAAGCAGGCCGUCGAUGUGGCCACUAUACAAAGUCGGGCGAAAACAUUUACCGACACAUGGACAGACGCGGACGAAGAUUCGCUCACCUGGCGAUCCUUAAAAGAUGUCAGCGUGGCCGGGGUGGACGCUGCGAUGGACAAAAAGUCACCAAAGCUCAGAAGAGUCCUAUGGGCUGUUGUUCUCGUCAUUUGUCUCUCUCUCAUGCUUGCCCAGGUUAAUUGCGUGAAACGAAUACAGAACUCUCUUUCCUUUUAUCAAAAUUACUUUAUCCGAAAUGAUUUUGGCGUUGAUCAUGGCCUUGAAUUGAGUUGUAUGCUAACCAAACGAAUUGUUCAAUUUAUGAGUAACAGUGCAUGGACCGCGUGAUGCGCUACAUCGCGGAGCCGGUCAACAUAAACGUGCGGAUCACUCAGAACACGUCUCUCGAGUUCCCCUCAGUCACCGUUUGCCAUAAAUCCCCUUACAACAUAACGAAAGCGCUGGAGUUAUUGAUCAAAGCUAAGUUGCUACCCAAAAAUGCAACAGGGAAAAUGGUGAAAAUCCCUCAGCUGGCAGGGUUGAACGGCAUGACCUCCACCAACAUCUGGACCAACUUAGCAUUAGAUGCGAAUGCAUUCAUUCCAGAGUGUUGGUUUGGACGAGGAAUCACUUGCGAUGUGGUUGGUAAAUGGAGUUUGACGUUCACGACCAUCGGGCCUUGCUACACUUACCAGAUGGGUAUCAAUUUUCCGAUUUUAUCUGCCAAAAAGUUUUGCAAAAUUAAAUUAUAUACCACCCGUAGAUGACGCGCGAACGAACCUCACUAACUCAUUUAACAACUUGU